This 45-nucleotide non-coding RNA is filed under the name Schistosoma margrebowiei. The record is from RNAcentral. Lineage: Eukaryota; Metazoa; Platyhelminthes; Trematoda; Strigeidida; Schistosomatidae.
AUCUAGCUGAUUGAUCCCAAAUAGGACGAAACGCGUGUCUUUGAU